AGCUUUUCGAAAGCCAAAGACUUCAUAUUUCUUCGUCAAGCUAAUAGGCGAUGGGCUUGCUUCAACCGAACGUGAGAAAUGGGCAAGGCAAAGGAAACUGGCCAAUUAUGCCUUUCAUGGGGAGAGCUUAAAAGUAAAUCAUCUCUACCUUCUAAUCUAAUUAUUGUAGUGGACAUUUACAAACUUGAUAAUUUUUUGCAGAAUAUGACUCCAGCAGUAGUUGCUAGCGUUGAAACCAUGCUUGAGAAAUGGAAAAGUAAGGAGGGCAAAGAGAUAGAAGUGUUCCAAGAGUUCAGAUUAUUGACUUCAGAAGUGAUAUCCAGAACCGCCUUUGGUAGCAGUUACUUGGAAGGGGAGAAGAUUUUUGACAUGCUGAUGAAGUUGACAGUAAUUGCAGGCAGAAAUAUUUUUAAAGCAAAGAUUCCCAUCAUCAGGUAACUUCAUCAAAUCUUUACUUUGUUAAUCAACAUACUUCAGCUUACAAUGGGUUGAUUUAAUCUGGUUGUCCUUUUCAGCAAGUUUUGGAAAUCUGCUGAUGAAAUUGAAUCAGAAAGAAUUGCCAAAAUGAUACAUGAUUCUGUGAUGAGGAUUGUUAAAAAAAGGGAAGAGAGAGUAGUGAACGGAGAAGCUGAUAACUUCGGUCGUGAUUUUCUGGGAUUACUUAUAAAUGCUUAUCAUGAGGCGGACCAGAAAAACAGGCUUUCGAUUCAAGAUUUGGUAGAUGAGUGUAAAACUUUUUAUUUUGCUGGGCAAGAAACAGUCAAUUCCUUGCUGGCAUGGGCAACUCUGCUUUUAGCAAUACACACCGAUUGGCAAGACAAAGCAAGAGCAGAGGUGAUUGAGGUCUUUGGUAAUCAAAACCCAGAUUCUGAAGGGAUGGCCAAAUUAAAGACGGUAAGCAAACUAUACAAAUUCAAUAGCUUGAAAACUAACACUGACCAUUUAUAUUGCCUUUUGGAUUUUUUUUUUCUCCAACAGAUUACCAUGAUUAUCAAUGAAACUUUACGGCUCUAUCCUCCUAUAAAUCGCGUGAUAAGAGAAGUAGGAAGAGAAGUCCAAUUAGGAAAACUUGUCCUGCCUACUCAUUCAGAGGUCGACAUGCAAAUCAUAGCACUUCACCAUGACCCUGACUUAUGGGGAGAUGAUGUUAACCUUUUCAAACCAGAGAGGUUUGCUGAAGGGAUAGCGAAAGCUACUAAGUACAAUGCAGCUGCAUUUAUGCCUUUUGGAUUGGGACCUCGAUCUUGCGUAGGCAUGAGCUUUGCAAUCACUGAAGUGAAAACUGCACUUUCCAUGAUUCUGCAACGCUAUACUUUCACCGUCUCCCCUACCUAUGUUCACGCACCUGCACCACGUCUUUCACUCAAGCCACAACAUGGGAUUCAGUUGUUGUUUCAUUCACUACAUUAUGAUGCUUAAAAUUCUAGGCUGUUGGUCUCCAAUAUUGUAAUAUAUAAUAAAAUGUGGAUGAUACUGUAUUUUGCAACCAUACGAUGAUAUAUGGUUUGGGGAUUUCAUGUUUUGGCAACAAGAUUAUAUGCUUUUUGUUGUUGUUGAUAUUGUUAAAGGUUAAAAAGGUAUUACAGCAAACAUCGCCACCGCAGGAGCAGGCCCUACGGUCCACCAAAGAGAAAUCAAUUCAAACUACCCCAAAAAGCUGGAACGGCAGCAGCAAAUCGAGUCAGCUCCCUGAACAUCAUACAGCAACACAGAAAGAAGAACAUCACAACCCAGUCAUAUACACGCCAUGAAGACAUUGGACUCCACAUUUUGCUAAAGUAUCAGCAAAGCAGCUAGAUUCUUUAUACACAUUCACAAUGGAGACAUUAUGGGAUCUCAUCACAGAGCUUAGAAUAUGACCCAUCCAGCAUUUGAGAAACAGUGAAGAUGUCAAGUCCAGGAGCUCCAAACAAUGCCUUGGCCGCUGGAUCCUAUAAUUAGGUGUCUUUCUUCCAUUACUACUGCAGUAGUGAAGUUUUUAUUCCACUUGGUUCCCAUCUUCCAGAGUUUCUGCUUGAAACACUCACUCCUGGAGCCGGCCAUUACAUUGCUUGUUAGCUUUCAUGGAAGGCUCGAAGCUCAUUAGACCAGAAACAUUGUUACUUUGCCUAUGUAUCUAUUUGACAUAUUCUCUUAAGGAAGAGCUACUUAUAUCAAGGCUCCAUCUUUCUGAGUUGCAGGGCAAAAGUCCGUUCUCCAUGCAAAACUACCCAUUUCCACUAAAGCACACUAGCUUUCGCCAUCCCAUCCGCGAAAAAACCUGAAAUGAUACACCAGAAACUCCCUCAAGACAGACAGAGCCAAGUCACUUUCUCGCUAAUCCCCAUUGAACCCUCCAAUUAAGCAAAGCCAUUUCAUAUUUCAACCCAAUGGCCACCACAAUUGCCGUACAAAAUUUACAAAUUAAAAUGCAAAAAGUAAUACAGAAAAAUACACAGCCCAAGCUCCAAUAGUAACAUAAACAUUCAUUUUAUAACAAUAAAGUUAAAGCCACGAAUAUUUUCAAAAAAAUUCAAUUAAGCCCUUGAAUGUUAAAAUUUCAAUCAAUUAAGCUCUUUGAUAGUUAAAGUUAACAGUUAAUUGUUAUAGUUAAAAUUUCAAUCAAUUAAGGUACGGUGUAGCGUUUGUUUACCCAUCGUUUAACCAUGUGGUUGAAGGUUCGAUCCCCACUUAUGGAAAUGAAGCACAUUUCAUAGUCAGUCAUUUACCUAUUUGGAGAGCACUUAUAGUGAGAAGAUUAACUACUGUUGUUGUUGGUGAAUUCCCUGAUUAUUACAAAUAAAAAAUAACAAUUGUCAUUUUUUUUGGAUUAUUUUUGCCACGUGCCAUGCUAAGAUUGUGCCACGUGGUAUAAAAUUAUAAAAAUCAUAUAAAAAUUAUACAAGAAUUAUAAAAAUGAAUAAAAUUAGAAAAAAUAUAUAAAAAAUCUAUUUUUAAAAGGUUAAUAAAUUUAAUAUUUUAUUAUUUUGAAAAGGAUAAUAAAUUUUUAAAAGGUUUUUUUAUUCUUAAAUUUUUAAGGGCUAUUUAAAUUUAAUUUCAAAAUAAAGCAUGCCUAAUAUAUAAAUAGACAUUUAAUUGGUGUCCAACAGGAAUGGCGUCACUCCUAUUUUUCAUCUAGUUUAAAAAUGAUAAUUAAUUCAUCAGGUGUCUGAACAUUUUUAUUUAUUCUUCAAUUCAAUGUCACAAAAAACAAUGACAACAUCCAAAAUAUUUUUUUUUUUUAAAAUGAGUCACCGACAUUUAUGGUUUAAAAUGAGUUUCAAAAUAAGUUAUUUUUAUAAAUAAUUAAAAGUUUUGGGUAUUUUUAAUAAAAAAAGCCUAAGUUUGAUGAAUGGCGUCAGCCAUUAUGUAGGUCUACUUAAUACGAAAACGACGGCUUGAUUUUGUUGGCCAAAAGGAAAGUACCUUUUGGGUUUUGCUUUGCCCAAAUGCUAGCAAAGUCUUUGCAUGCAUUUGUUUGAUUGGAAAAGUGAGAAAUAGAUGAACAUGGUAAGCACAAAUUCUAGACAUUACCAUAUCACCUAUAAAAUUUAGUUAUCUUUUUAAUUUCUUUUGGUGUAUUAUAAAAAAAAAAUUCUAAUAACACGACUUGAAUCAAAUCAUAUCUUAGUCAAGAGAUGGGGUUAUUUUAAUUUUUGUUUAUAAAAAAAAAAUCUUGUUCAUUGAGGGCCCUAGUAGGAGGUAUUGAAUAAUAACUAGAAGUCAAAUCCUGCACGCUUCCCAUUUCUGUGUAUUGAAUUGGCUGUAAUUUUCAAAGGACAUGAACCUUGAAGAGGGACAAGUGUAGUCUCUUGAUGAUAAAUGUGUUGACUGUCACCUUGCAAAACCCAGAUUACCAUAACAGAUGCAAAAUCUGAUCGGUGAAGAUAAGAAAAUGGAGACCAUGGGAAAUCUUCUAAUCCUGUUUACAGCUUCUUUAUGCCUCUAUCUUUUCGUUGCUUUGCUCAAUGUUUUCUACAAGUAUUGCUGGAUACCUCAACGGGUACAGUUCAUCAUGAAUUCACAAGGAAUCAGAGGACCUCCUUAUGAAUUUAUCCAUGGAAACAACAAAGAAGCUGCCCAAAUGCUCAUGGAAGCAUCUACCAAACCUAUGGCCUUGACACACGAUAUAUUUCCCAGAGUCAUGCCUCAUGUUUACUCCUGGAUCAACAAAUACGGUGAGAAUAUGUUUUUUUUAUCUUUUUUGGGUAGUAUUUUCUGAUUAACCUCCACUUUCCAUGAAGAGAAAUCAUUUUCUUUCAGGGAAGACUUAUCUUAGUUGGAAUGGAAUUCGAGCUCAACUGCUAAUUACAGACCCAGAUCUAGUCAAAGAGGUCCUUAAAAACAGUGACAAAGCUUUUCGAAAGCCAAAGGCUUCAUAUUUCUUCGACAAGCUACUAGGCGAUGGGCUUGCUUCAACCGAACGUGAGAAAUGGGCAAGGCAAAGGAAACUGGCCAAUUAUGCCUUUCAUGGGGAGAGCUUAAAAGUAAAUCAUCUCUACCUUCUAAUCUAAUUAUUGUAGUGCGACAUUUACAAACUUGAUCAUUUUUUGCAGAAUAUGACUCCAGCAGUAGUUGCUAGCGUUGAAACCAUGCUUGAGAAAUGGAAAAGUAAGGAGGGCAAAGAGAUAGAAGUGUUCCAAGAGUUCAG
Molecule: long non-coding RNA, 4630 nt
Filed under: Gossypium barbadense (sea-island cotton)
Lineage: Eukaryota; Viridiplantae; Streptophyta; Magnoliopsida; Malvales; Malvaceae
Description: long non-coding RNA (GBAR_LNC022158)
Source: RNAcentral